This 61-nucleotide transfer RNA is filed under the name Gonyosoma frenatum. RNAcentral describes it as "tRNA-Gly". Lineage: Eukaryota; Metazoa; Chordata; Lepidosauria; Squamata; Colubridae. The record is from RNAcentral.
AUUUCUUUAGUAUAAUAGUACAAAUGCCUUCCAAGCAUGAAGUCUCUUACGAGAAGAAAUA